This is a long non-coding RNA of Oreochromis aureus, 1555 nucleotides long. Lineage: Eukaryota; Metazoa; Chordata; Actinopteri; Cichliformes; Cichlidae. The record is from Ensembl.
GUACAGGGGCGGGAAGACUGCCUGCUGGGGCACCUGCGGAUGGAGGUACAGGGGCGGGAAGACUGCCUGCUGGGGCACCUGCGGAUGGGGGUGCAGGGAUGGAAAGACAGCCUGCUGGGGAACCUGUGGAUGGGGGUGCUGGGGCAGAAAGGCAGCCUGCUGAGGGCCCUGUGGUGGCUGAGGAUGCAGGGGUGGGAAGCCUUUCUGCUGCAUUGCCAGAGGCAGAGAGUGUGAAUGCAAACCAGUUUGCUGGGGUACCUGAUGUGGAUGCUGUGGAUGUAAACCAGUCUGCUUUGUCACCUGAAGUUGAAAGUGUGGAUGCAAACUGGUCUGCUGGGUCACCUGAAAUAGACUGGGUAGAUGGUGUGGAUGUAAACCAGUCUGCUGGGUCACCUGAAAUAGACUGGGUAGAUGGUGUGGAUGUAAACCAGUCUGCCGGGUCACCUGAGAUAGACUGGGUGGAUGCAAAUGAGACUGCUGGGUCACCUGAGAUAGACUGGGUGAAUGGUGUGGAUGCAAACCAGUCUGCUGUGGUAAGUGAGGCAGAUGAGGUGGAUGCAAACCAGUCUGCUGGGUCACCUGAGAUAGAGUGGGUAGAUGGUGUGGAUGUAAACCAGUCUGCCGGGUCACCUGAGAUAGACUGGGUGAAUGGAUGCAAACCAGUCUGCUGUGGUAAGUGAGGCAGAUGAGGUGGAUGCAAACCAUUCUGCUGGGUCACCUGAGGCGUAAUGAGUGGAGGCACACCAGUCUGCUGGCUCUCCUCAGGGUCGCUGGGUGGAUGCAAAACAGGCUGCCGGCUCUCCUCAGGGUCGCUGGGUGGAUGCAAAACAGGCUGCCGGCUCUCCUCAGGGUCGCUGGGUGGAUGCACAACAGGCUGCCGGCUCUCCUGAGGGACGCUGGGUGGAUCCACACCAGGCUGCCGGCUCACCUGAGAGGGACUGGGUGGAUGGUGUGGCUGCAAACCAGUCUGCUGGGUCACCUGAUGUAGACUGGGUGGCUGCAAACCAGUCUGCUGGGUCACCUGAUGUAGACUGGGUGGAUGCAAACCAGUCUGCUGGGUCACCUGAGGCUGAUACAGUGCUGGGUCACCAACAUGCUCAGACAACUCUGGCUUUUGGGGCUGCUUUAGCUGGCAGCUCAAGGUUGGGCAAGGCCGGCAGACAGACUGCUCCUUGUGUGGGCAGGGCCAGCAGCUAGACCCCUGGGGCGGACAGGGUCGGCAUGAAGGCUGCUUCUUGGGUGGGCAGGAAGCUUUUAGUUGUUGCUGGGGCACCUGUGACUGUUUGGGUUUGCACUGACGUGGUUGAGAUGCCCGUGGAUUUGGUAGGGGCUGAACACCAGACUUUGGUUCUUUGGACACAGAGCCAUUCUGUUUUAGGGUUUCAGAUUCAGAGUGAUACUGGUUAGUGGAGGACAUAGUUGUGUUGUGGUUAUUUGUAUUCAAGGGCGAUGUAUGAUUUCCAAAUGUCUCACUGCCAUACAAAGUGUCAUUCCCAGAGUUAAGACUACUUAAAUCCAAUCGAUCAUCUGCAACAAGCACCUUCUGAUCUGCAGG